UCCUACGGGAGGCAGCAGUGGGGAAUUUUGGACAAUGGGGGAAAGCCUGAUCCAGCAAUGCGGCGUGAGUGAAGAAGGCCUUCGGGUGUAAAGCACUUUUGUCCGGAAAGAAAUCAAGGUCUUAAUACAGUAGGGGAAGACGGUACCGGAAGAAUAAGCACGGCUACUUCU
This 171-nucleotide ribosomal RNA is filed under the name uncultured bacterium. Its description in RNAcentral is "partial 16S ribosomal RNA". It matches the Rfam family "Bacterial small subunit ribosomal RNA", at positions 337 to 504 of the family's 1533-position model. The record is from RNAcentral.